ACACACAGCAUGCACAGAUAAACCAGGCUGGGAAAUAUAUAUGACUGCGGAUUCACACUAAAUCACUCAACCGUGAGAACAAACACUUGCAUCCAAUGGCUAUGAUGAACGAACGACUGAACGAACACUACAGAACCACUACAGUAAUGUGUGUAUUGAGACACUCACCACCCACCCACUCUGAACCCCCCAACCCCCCACGUCCACUCACCCACCCAGCCUGCCCCCCACCCAUGUCCACUCUAAUACUAUUACUCUAGCAUGCGCUCUGGUGGAGCUUCAGCAGUGGAACUGUGGCCAGCCAUGCCAGACAUACACUCCUUCUGUGUAUCACGCCAUGUCUUAUGGGAGAGCCCGACCGACUGACCCCCUGACCUUUGACUCCCGGCCAGCACGGCUUGAUUCCUGGCAAUGCAAGAGCCUCUCCCUCGCUGGACUGCUCUCCUCCCCGCCGACCUCUGAGUGAAGACGUGGGGUCUCGGAAUAAACCGGCCGGAAAGGCUGGAGGUGACUCUUUUAACCAGGACACAGUAAUGUUAGCCCGUAGAACAAGGUGCUUUUACAGUGAAGGUCUGGGGGUUUAGGGAAUAACCAAUGGGAUGUCCUCCCACCUACACUAACACAGGCACACACAUACACACACAUGUACACACACACACACACACACACACACACAUAUAUAUAUAUAUAUAUAAAACACUAUGUUUGUGGGAAUGCACAUGAAAGCAGCACUAAAUCAGAUCCUUUUGUUUACUUUCUUCUCCUCUCACUCUACUCACAUGUCCUCUGUGUGAUUCUUCCAGCGAUAUGUCGGAGGUUUGCUUUGGCAUUCUCUACUGUCCUUUUCUCUCUUUUUUUAAAGAAAUGUGAAGAAAAUAUGUUGAUGUAAAGAACUUUUAGGGAGUGGGGGAAAGGGGGAAUCAAAUCUCAGAUGUGUGUUAGACAUUGGUGUCAUAGCAUGGUUAGACACAUUCGUUUUAACUUAAAAAUCAUUGCAGCAGAGUUGUGUAUUAUCUCCAUAGUGCACCACUGGACCAAUGGAUUCGUACUAGAGAGAUGUGUGUGUACCAUGUAGAGUUAGCCAGUCAUCUUAGUGAGUACACAGCUUCAGGAGAGUCCGAUCGUAGCCCUCACGCCACGAGCACAGUUCCCUCUGCCCUCAUCCACAUACUACAGUCAAAAGGGAACUCGUUUAGAGCAUUUAUCAAUGUUUUAUUAUCGAGCCGCAUGCACUGGCCUUUCGUUUUUAUCAUGACAUCGAGACACUCGUUUAGCAGCUCCUUCUAGUGUGAAGACAUUUGCAUCUGAGGAGAGGAGACGAGGAAGAGAACCCCCCACCCCCACCCCCCCCACCGUCGUGCAGUGCGUCUGAGGCCUCGUCCCAUUGGCCUCCGUAUUAAACUCCCAUCCAACUGCCAGAAGUAUCGGCUCCCGCAGACAAAACUGCGGGGAAUCGUUGCAUUAUCUCAGUGUGAGUCAAUCAAUACAAGAUCCAGAUGGGCUUAUGUGCAGCAUCAGCACCACAAGCGUGUGCUUUAUGACUGAAUGAUAACAGCAGGGAGGGGGGGGGGUUACCACAGAGGAACAGCUGAAGCUCUUGAGGCUCAUUUAGCUGCUAAAAUCCCGGGUUGAAUCGACACUACCUUUACCCUCAUAGUCUGUAGACUAGCCUGGGGGUCAGUGUGUGGGCUAUUCCGUUAGCAAGGCUGAAGUCAUGGAGUGCCAUAGCUCUCUCUUUCUCUCUCUCUCCUCUGAUGUUGUAAAUGUUUGACCCGGGAGAAAAGUUGUUGUUUUGUUUUGUUUCACUUGAAAACAAACAAACAAACCAACAUUGGAAGCAGCUGCUGCCUCCUCUCACCUGUGCAGCGGUCAAUAUGGAGGGCUUCUCUCAGUCUGUGUUCUGUACAUAUUUAGCUUUUAUUUCUUCUUGUUCUUCUCACCGCGCUCCUCGCGGUUCUCUGCCAGUUUUGUGAAUGUUUUAUUGUGCCGUUGUAAUUUAUGAGAAAAUAAUGCUUCUCUUUUAGCUUCUCGUUUUUUUGUUUUGUUUGUUUGGUUGGUUUGUUGUUGUUUUUUUCUUUUUUUUUUCUUUUCUUGGUUUGGUGCCAAGUGUGAGUGGAUUGUGUAAAGUGAAUGUGUGUGUGUGUGUGUGUGUGUGUGUGUGUUUGCAGGGCUGUCUGUUUCGGAUGCUCCUUUCCCUGAGCACAUGCAUCAUUCCUCACACAUCUUUCUAAAACUAAAGUGGGGUAUGCCCCCCCCCCCCCCCCUUCCCUAUUGCGUCUACAGUACUUGUCCGUGUCUGUGUGUCUCACAGUGCUAAUUGCCUUCUCAGUAGAACGGUGUUGAACUCACUCCUGAUCUCUCACCCCCACUGCCCCCCCCCCCCCCCCCCCCCCGCCCUCCAUUAGUCUGUGGUCCUCUGUGUGUUAGUAUCAUAAUAACCCCUAUGCUGAAUAGUCUCCCCCCCCCCCCCAAUGCAUUAGUCUGUGGUCCUCUGCGUGCAUGUUAGUAUCAUAAUAACCUCUAUGCUGAAGAGCCCCCCCAUGCUGCAUUAGUCUGUGGUCCUCUGUGUGUUAGUAUCAUAAUAACCGACUCUGUGUGCGUGUGUGGUGGAGUGACUGAGAGAGCUCUUCUUGACCUGUAAUGAAGCAAUAUCAGCCCAUAAGAAGUCAGGUUAGUAUACUGAAGUAAUAAUGGCAUGGUCUCCUGAAGCAUAUGUCCAUCGUGCCAGGUUAGUUUACUGAAGUAAUAAUGGCAUGGUCCUGAAGCAUAUGUCCAUCGUAGUGAUCUAGUGUACUCAUUCGUGGGCCACUGAUCAGUGUCAACAUCGUGCAUCUUGGUGUAGAGUUCCUUAAGACUCGUCUUUCAUCUUUUCUCUUUAUUCCCUUCUCUCUCUCUCUCUCUCUCUCUCUCUCUCUCUCUCUCUCUCUCUCUCUCUCUCUCUCUCUCUCUCUCUCAGAAGAGUGUUGUCACUGCACAGACACUAACGCUUUGCUCCGUUUGCCAGGUUGCAUGCUGGGACGGCUCUGGCCUAAUCAAGCAUCUCUGUCACCAGUUUCAAAAGACUUGUGUCUGUAUUUGAAACGCCUCACUUUGAGAACACUGCAGAAGUCUUCUAUCUAUCUCUCUUUUUCUCUCUCUUUUUCUCUCUCGCCUUGCUCUCUGUCUCUCUCUUUCCUUCUGACGGCUGCAAACUCUGCGGCUGGUGAGUCCUAACCUCUCCCCUAGUAGGUAGGUUGGGGAGGCAGUCAGGGACGCCACUGACAGGACAAAUAGUCAAACCCCCCUGAAAAGAAAAGAUGCCUAGAGUAUAAGUUUUGUGUCAGGAAACAUGACGUUAGAUUUGCGUUUUUGCAUGUCCAUUCCGAGCUGUUAAGACCAACCCAACACUCUGCUUCUGCCACCUGUAUAUAGGUGUACAAAGUCAUGAACACGUAGCAUCAGUGUUUGUUUUGUUUUUGUUAACUUUUUUUUAAGUGUUUUUGUUACCUCAGUUGGAUUUUUUUUUUUUUUUUUUGUUAAUUUGUUUUUGUUCCAGCUUGUCAAGUAUCCAUUUUGUAUAUCCGAAAUCAACAUCACCAGACAAGUUAUUUAUGAACAUAUUAUCCAGAACAGUGAGGAUAUGUGAUAUCCCUUACUGUUUCUUUUCUAUGGUAUUUAGUCCAUCCAGGCUGCCAUCAAAGGCAGUUAUUAUUAUUGCUGUUGUGUUCUAAUUAUGAUUGUUAUUAUUAUAUUAAGUUUGUGUCCGAUGUACAGUCCCUAAUACAGAGUCUUAUACUGUCAUGUGUCUCCUUUCAAUAAAGAAAAAGAAUUCUUAAUAUAA
Molecule: long non-coding RNA, 3820 nt
Organism: Alosa sapidissima (American shad)
Lineage: Eukaryota; Metazoa; Chordata; Actinopteri; Clupeiformes; Clupeidae
Exons: 2
Source: RefSeq, a predicted model, not a curated record